UACGUAGGUGACAAGCGUUGUCCGGAUUUACUGGGCGUAAAGAGCGCGCAGGCGGUCGUUCAAGUCGAGUGUGAAAGCCCCCGGCUCAACUGGGGAGGGUCAUUCGAUACUGAUCGACUGGAAGGCAGGAGAGGGAAGUGGAAUUCCCGGUGUAGUGGUGAAAUGCGUAGAUAGCGGGAGGAACACCAGUGGCGAAGGCGACUUCCUGGCCUGUUCUUGACGCUGAGGCGCGAAAGCUAGGGGAGCAAACGGG
This 253-nucleotide ribosomal RNA is filed under the name uncultured bacterium. RNAcentral's name for it is "partial 16S ribosomal RNA". It matches the Rfam family "Bacterial small subunit ribosomal RNA", at positions 524 to 776 of the family's 1533-position model. The record is from RNAcentral.